AGCGAACGUUUGCGGCGGGCUUAACACAUGCAAGUCGAACGAGAAUCCCGUUCGGGGAGGAAAGUGGCGCGACGGGUGGCGUAACACGUGGAUAACCAACCCAUUGGUUUGGGACAACACCGGGAAACUGGUGCUAAUACCAGAGUGUGUCGCAGCUGUCUUCAGGGCGGUUGCGAGAAAGGCCCGCAAGGGUCGCCAACGGGACGGGUCCGCGUCCCAUCAGCUUAGUUGGUGAGGUAAUGGCUCACCAAGGCAAAGACGGGUAGCUGGUCUGAGAGGGAUGAUCAGCCACACCUGGAACUGAGACACGGUCCAGACUCCUACGGGAGGC
RNAcentral lists this ribosomal RNA (331 nucleotides) under uncultured bacterium. RNAcentral describes it as "bacterial SSU rRNA". It matches the Rfam family "Bacterial small subunit ribosomal RNA", at positions 29 to 349 of the family's 1533-position model. The record is from RNAcentral.